UCUCCGUAGAUGAACCUGCGGAGGGAUCAUUACUGAGUGAGGGCUCCGGCCCGACCUCCAACCCUUUUGUGAACCACCUCGUUGCUUCGGGGGCGACCCUGCCGACGACUCCGUCGCCGGGCGCCCCCGGAGGUCUUCUAAACACUGCAUCUUUGCGUCGGAGUUUAAACAAAUUAAACAAAACUUUCAACAACGGAUCUCUUGGUUCUGGCAUCGAUGAAGAACGCAGC
Molecule: unclassified non-coding RNA, 230 nt
Filed under: uncultured fungus
Lineage: Eukaryota; Fungi
Description: sequence contains ITS1, 5.8S rRNA gene
Rfam family: 5.8S ribosomal RNA (bases 182-230)
Source: RNAcentral